GAUGAACGCUAGCGACAGGCUUAACACAUGCAAGUCGAGGGGCAGCGGGGGUAGCGAUACCCGCCGGCGACCGGCGCACGGGUGAGUAACGCGUAUGCAACUUGCCUAUCAGAGGGGGAUAACCCGGCGAAAGUCGGACUAAUACCGCAUGAAGCAGGGGCCCCGCAUGGGGAUAUUUGCUAAAGAUUCAUCGCUGAUAGAUAGGCAUGCGUUCCAUUAGGCAGUUGGCGGGGUAACGGCCCACCAAACCGACGAUGGAUAGGGGUUCUGAGAGGAAGGUCCCCCACAUUGGUACUGAGACACGGACCAAACUCCUACGGGAGGCAGCAGUGAGGAAUAUUGGUCAAUGGCCGAGAGGCUGAACCAGCCAAGUCGCGUGAGGGAUGAAGGUUCUAUGGAUCGUAAACCUCUUUUAUAAGGGAAUAAAGUGCGGGACGUGUCCCGUUUUGUAUGUACCUUAUGAAUAAGGAUCGGCUAACUCCGUGCCAGCAGCCGCGGUAAUACGGAGGAUCCGAGCGUUAUCCGGAUUUAUUGGGUUUAAAGGGUGCGUAGGCGGCCUUUUAAGUCAGCGGUGAAAGUCUGUGGCUCAACCAUAGAAUUGCCGUUGAAACUGGGGGGCUUGAGUAUGUUUGAGGCAGGCGGAAUGCGUGGUGUAGCGGUGAAAUGCAUAGAUAUCACGCAGAACCCCGAUUGCGAAGGCAGCCUGCCAAGCCAUUACUGACGCUGAUGCACGAAAGCGUGGGGAUCAAACAGGAUUAGAUACCCUGGUAGUCCACGCAGUAAACGAUGAUCACUAGCUGUUUGCGAUACACUGUAAGCGGCACAGCGAAAGCGUUAAGUGAUCCACCUGGGGAGUACGCCGGCAACGGUGAAACUCAAAGGAAUUGACGGGGGCCCGCACAAGCGGAGGAACAUGUGGUUUAAUUCGAUGAUACGCGAGGAACCUUACCCGGGUUUGAACGCAUUCGGACCGAGGUGGAAACACCUUUUCUAGCAAUAGCCGUUUGCGAGGUGCUGCAUGGUUGUCGUCAGCUCGUGCCGUGAGGUGUCGGCUUAAGUGCCAUAACGAGCGCAACCCUUGCCACUAGUUACUAACAGGUAAAGCUGAGGACUCUGGUGGGACUGCCAGCGUAAGCUGCGAGGAAGGCGGGGAUGACGUCAAAUCAGCACGGCCCUUACAUCCGGGGCGACACACGUGUUACAAUGGCGUGGACAAAGGGAGGCCACCUGGCGACAGGGAGCGAAUCCCCAAACCACGUCUCAGUUCGGAUCGGAGUCUGCAACCCGACUCCGUGAAGCUGGAUUCGCUAGUAAUCGCGCAUCAGCCAUGGCGCGGUGAAUACGUUCCCGGGCCUUGUACACACCGCCCGUCAAGCCAUGGGAGCCGGGGGUACAUGAAGUCCGUAACCGAAAGGAUCGGCCUAGGGU
Molecule: ribosomal RNA, 1428 nt
Filed under: uncultured organism
Description: 16S ribosomal RNA
Rfam family: Bacterial small subunit ribosomal RNA
Source: RNAcentral